GCCUCCGUAGCUCAGGGGAUAGAGCAACUGAUUCCUAAUCAGUAGGCCACAGGUUCGAUUCCUGUCGGGGGCGCCA
RNAcentral lists this transfer RNA (76 nucleotides) under Deltaproteobacteria bacterium. RNAcentral's name for it is "tRNA-Arg". It matches the Rfam family "tRNA". Rfam says of the family: Transfer RNA (tRNA) molecules are approximately 80 nucleotides in length. The record is from RNAcentral. Lineage: Bacteria; Pseudomonadati; Myxococcota; Myxococcia.